This 20-nucleotide non-coding RNA is filed under the name Arabidopsis thaliana (thale cress). The record is from RNAcentral. RNAcentral also lists the same sequence under 27 other names. Lineage: Eukaryota; Viridiplantae; Streptophyta; Magnoliopsida; Brassicales; Brassicaceae.
GCGACCCCAGGUCAGGCGGG